AUUCCAGCUCCAAUAGCGUAUAUUUAAGUUGCUGCAGUUAAAAAGCUCGUAGUUGGAUUUCGGGUGGGAAUGGCCGGUCCGCCGUUUCGGUGUGCACUUGCUAGUCCCACCUUGCUGCCGGGGACGUGCUCUUGGGUUUCGGCUCGGGACACGGAGUCGGCGAGGUUACUUUGAGUAAAUUAGAGUGUUUAAAGCAGGCUUUCGCUGUGAAUACAUUAGCAUGGAAUAAUGAUCUAGGACUUCGGUUCUAUUUUGUUGGUUUCUAGUACUGAAGUAAUGAUUGAUAGGGAUAGUUGGGGGUGCUAGUAUUGGCCGGCCAGAGGUGAAAUUCUUGGAUUCGGUCAAGACUAACUUAUGCGAAAGCAUUCACCAAGGAUGUCUUCAUC
RNAcentral lists this ribosomal RNA (386 nucleotides) under Protaspa sp. Its description in RNAcentral is "partial small subunit ribosomal RNA". It matches the Rfam family "Eukaryotic small subunit ribosomal RNA", at positions 582 to 974 of the family's 1831-position model. The record is from RNAcentral. Lineage: Eukaryota; Cercozoa; Thecofilosea; Cryomonadida; Protaspidae.